Molecule: ribosomal RNA, 476 nt
Filed under: uncultured bacterium
Lineage: Bacteria
Description: bacterial SSU rRNA
Rfam family: Bacterial small subunit ribosomal RNA
Source: RNAcentral
GAUGAACGCUGGCGGCGUGCUUAACACAUGCAAGUCGAACGUGAUAGGUAGCAAUAUCUUGAAAGUGGCGAACGGGUGAGUAACACGUGGGUAACCUGCCUCGGAGUGGGGGAUAACAGUUAGAAAUGACUGCUAAAAACCGCAUGAAUCCAUCGAUUGGGGACAAUUAAUGGAGAAAACUCUGGUGCUUCGAGAGGGGCCCGCGGCCGAUUAGCUAGUUGGUGAGGUAAUGGCUCACCAAGGCGACGAUCGGUAGCUGGUCUGAGAGGACGAUCAGCCACACGGGAACUGAGACACGGUCCCGACUCCUACGGGGGGGCAGCAGUGAGGAAUAUUGGGCAAUGGGCGCAAGCCUGACCCAGCAACGCCGCGUGGAGGAAUGAAGGCCUUGGGUUGUAAACUCCUUUGCAGGGAAGAGGAAGGACGGUACCCUGCGAAUAAGUCACGGCUAACUACGUGCCAGCAGCCGCGGUAAU